Molecule: long non-coding RNA, 222 nt
Filed under: Mytilus galloprovincialis (Mediterranean mussel)
Lineage: Eukaryota; Metazoa; Mollusca; Bivalvia; Mytilida; Mytilidae
Source: RNAcentral
CAUUAGACCACAUUCAUUCUGUGUCAGAAACCUAUGCUGUGUCAACUAUUUAAUUUUAGAUUUAAAUAAGUUUGAAGAAGAAAUCUUUAAUUGAUUUGUAAAAUCUUGACAUUUGUUUUGUGUAAAAAACCCAUAUAAUGUCAAAAAUUUGAUCACAAUCCAAAUUCAGAGCUGUAUCACGCUUAAAUGUUUUGUCCAUACCUGCCCCAACUGUUCAGGGAU